Molecule: ribosomal RNA, 510 nt
Filed under: uncultured bacterium
Lineage: Bacteria
Description: partial 16S ribosomal RNA
Rfam family: Bacterial small subunit ribosomal RNA
Source: RNAcentral
GACGAACGCUGGCGGCGUGCUUAACACAUGCAAGUCGAACGAAGAGCGACGGAAGCUUGCUUCUAUCAAUCUUAGUGGCGAACGGGUGAGUAACGCGUAAUCAACCUGCCCUUCAGAGGGGGACAACAGUUGGAAACGACUGCUAAUACCGCAUACGAUCUAACCUCGGCAUCGAGGAUAGAUGAAAGGUGGCCACUACAUGUAAGCUAUCACUGAAGGAGGGGAUUGCGUCUGAUUAGCUAGUUGGAGGGGUAACGGCCCACCAAGGCGAUGAUCAGUAGCCGGUCUGAGAGGAUGAACGGCCACAUUGGGACUGAGACACGGCCCAGACUCCUACGGGAGGCAGCAGUGGGGAAUCUUCCGCAAUGGACGAAAGUCUGACGGAGCAACGCCGCGUGAGUGAUGACGGCCUUCGGGUUGUAAAGCUCUGUUAAUCGGGACGAAAGGCCUUCUUGCGAAUAGUGAGAAGGAUUGACGGUACCGGAAUAGAAAGCCACGGCUAACUACGUG